This 494-nucleotide ribosomal RNA is filed under the name uncultured bacterium. RNAcentral's name for it is "partial 16S ribosomal RNA". It matches the Rfam family "Bacterial small subunit ribosomal RNA", at positions 28 to 507 of the family's 1533-position model. The record is from RNAcentral.
GACGAACGCUGGCGGCGUGCUUGACACAUGCAAGUCGAACGGAAAGGCCUGCUUUCCCUUGUGGAUUGCGGGUACUCGAGUGGCGAACGGGUGAGUAACACGUGAGUGAUCUGCCCCCAACUUGGGUAUAAGCCUGGGAAACUGGGUCUAAUUCCCGAUAGGACUGCAGGGUGGUGCCUGUGGUGGAAAACGAUUUUCUAGUGGUUGGGGAUGAGCUCGCGGCCUAUCAGCUGGUUGGUGGGGUAAUGGCCUACCAAGGCGGCGACGGGUAGCCGGCCUGAGAGGGUGGACGGCCACAUUGGGACUGAGAUACGGCCCAGACUCCUACGGGAGGCAGCAGUGGGGAAUAGUGCACAAUGGGCGGAAGCCUGAUGCAGCGACGCCGCGUGGGGGAUGACGGCCUUCGGGUUGUAAACUCCUUUCGACCGCGAGGAAGCCACCUGGUUGGAAGGGUGGUGACGGUAGUGGUAGAAGAAGCACCGGCUAACUACGUG